This 253-nucleotide ribosomal RNA is filed under the name uncultured bacterium. Its description in RNAcentral is "partial 16S ribosomal RNA". It matches the Rfam family "Bacterial small subunit ribosomal RNA", at positions 524 to 776 of the family's 1533-position model. The record is from RNAcentral.
UAUGUAGGGUGCAAGCGUUGUCCGGAAUUAUUGGGCGUAAAGAGCUCGUAGGCGGUCUGUCGCGUCGGCUGUGAAAACCCGGGGCUCAACCCCGGGCCUGCAGUCGAUACGGGCAGACUAGAGUGCGGUAGGGGAGACUGGAAUUCCUGGUGUAGCGGUGAAAUGCGCAGAUAUCUGAAGGAACAUCAGUGGCGAAAGCGACCUCCUGGACCAAUACUGACGCUCAGGUGCGAAAGCGUGGGGAGCAAACAGG